GACAGAAAGGGCGGUUGGCGAGGUGAACGACAGAAACAAAUUUUUUUUUUUUUAAUAUAGCCCAAUAUCACAAAUUCUCCUCAGAGGGCUUUCCAAUCUGUACACGUACGACAUCCCUGACCUUUGACCUCACGUCGGAUCAGGAAAAACUCCCAAGAAAUCGAAACACCCCCUUUCAGGGGGAAUAAAGCGGCGGGACAGCGAUGACGCGCGGAGCAACUCAAGAGCUGAUUGGCCCGAGUUGCGAGCUUACCGCCUCAAAGUUGAAAUAUUUCAACUAGGGGGGCGAAAAUUGCGCCGCUGAAAACACGUCGCCCAGAAAAGUGUUGCGUCUAUCGCAGCCACACGCGUCUGUACGUUGACUUCACGGGAUUCGGUCCUGCGAACAAAUAGCGUCGCUUUGGUGUGAACGCACCUUUACAGUCGGUCGCUUUUGCUUUCACACAGAAUAUCCUGGACCGACUGAAGCGAGCGGAACGAGCAUCGACCAGCGCAAAGACGGCACACUUUAUUACGCCUUCCAACCUCGACACGGACCAAGAUCUGCUUCUUUUGUUCUUCCCUUUCACAAUAAAAGCCCUGGACGGAGAAUAUUUGUUCUCUUUGUCGUUGGGCUGCAGGACAAGAAAGCCUCAAACUCCUGAAACAUUGACACAUCCUGUGUGACGUCACAUGCUCAACAGGAAAAACCAAGUUAAAGGCACAAGAAGCAAAGAGGAACCACUGCAACGCCCAAAAACCAACCGCAACCAAAUGGGGACUCGCAGAGCCGACGUGUUCACGGGAGUUUUACUCUCAAACUGCAUAAAUCACAAUAAUUAGCAUCGUGAAAACAUGGAAACUAAAUAUUUGAUCACACCCAAAGGGAUUGCGACAAAAAAAAACACAUUCGUAAAUUAUUUUUUAAAAUUCACCAACGGCUAUAAUCAAUAUUUCACCCGAUCAGAUGAUGGAGUCGCUUUCAGCGGCAAACCGACGGAGAAACUAGCCGUGAGCAAUUUGCAUCUCCUCUCCGUCUUUAUGGGGCUGGUUUGGCGUCAUCUUCGUGAAUUUAAAAGGAAAACUAAAAACAUCUUUUCCGACUAUAUCUAGAUUAAAACACAGAUUAGCACUCCAGUGACACUUAAAUAGCUCUUAUUAUGGUACUUUUGUAGUUCGACUAUGUUGAGGAAAUGUUACUUUCUGUAUUCUUGUUGUUCUUAGUUUGUACUCUAGGUUGAUGCACUUAUUGUAAGUCGCUUUGGAUAAAAGCGUCUGCUAAAUGACAUGGAAUGUAAUGUAAAAAAAAAGGUGUGAUGUGGUCACGGCUCAUUGCCUCAAAGUUGCCAAAGGGUUCAUAUUACAGGUUGGAUGAAAGGGCUAGAUGCAGGCGAGACAGUUUCUCAUCGUCUGUGACCUUUGACCUCCAGCUGGGCUUUGAAGCAUAAAUUCAAAAGGUAUAAACCGGUGUAAUCUUCCCUGGUUUCCUCAGGCCGACGAGUCUCCUUUACACAUUUAAGUGAGCGCUCGGCGCCAUUCGAUGCCCAAUAAGGCCAGCGAGGAGGAAUGUCUAUGAACCCAGGAGGGAGUCACACGGCUCACGGGGGCCACGCCCACCGAUCCAGAUCUCUCCAGACCUCCAAGCUGCCCGGCAGACUCCUUCUUGGACUCGUUUCCUUUUCCUCAUCUCUCUGUCCCGGUUUGUUUACAUAAAAGCGAUAACAUCUCGAAGAGGCUGGAGCGUCCAUUGUCUGAACUACGACUAAUUAAAAUGUGCAUUGUG
Long non-coding RNA from Pseudoliparis swirei, 1762 nucleotides. RefSeq lists it as uncharacterized. Lineage: Eukaryota; Metazoa; Chordata; Actinopteri; Perciformes; Liparidae. The record is from RefSeq and is a predicted model, not a curated record. The transcript is spliced from 2 exons.